Molecule: ribosomal RNA, 448 nt
Filed under: uncultured bacterium
Lineage: Bacteria
Description: bacterial SSU rRNA
Rfam family: Bacterial small subunit ribosomal RNA
Source: RNAcentral
CGGCGAACGGGUGAGUAACGCGUGGGUAAUCUGCCCCCAAGACCGGGAUAACAGUGCGAAAGCGCUGCUAAUACCGGAUAAUCUCUUCUUGUCGCAUGAUAGGGAGAGCAAAGCUCCGGCGCUUGGGGAUGAGCCCGCGUUCCAUUAGCUAGUUGGUGAGGUAACGGCUCACCAAGGCGACGAUGGAUUGCCGGCCUGAGAGGGUGACCGGCCACACUGGGACUGAGACACGGCCCAGACUCCUACGGGAGGCAGCAGUAGGGAAUUUUCGGCAAUGGGGGAAACCCUGACCGAGCAACGCCGCGUGGGGGAAGAAGGCCUUCGGGUCGUAAACCUCUGUCUUUGGGGACGAUAAUGACGGUACCCGAGGAGGAAGCCCCGGCUAACUACGUGCCAGCAGCCGCGGUAAUACGUAGGGGGCGAGCGUUGUCCGGAAUCACUGGGCGUA